CCUACGGGAGGCAGCAGUAGGGAAUCUUCCACAAUGGACGCAAGUCUGAUGGAGCAACGCCGCGUGAGUGAAGAAGGGUUUCGGCUCGUAAAGCUCUGUUGGUAGUGAAGAAAGAUAGAGGUAGUAACUGGCCUUUAUUUGACGGUAAUUACUUAGAAAGUCACGGCUAACUACGUGCCAGCAGCCGCGGUAAUACGUAGGUGGCAAGCGUUGUCCGGAUUUAUUGGGCGUAAAGCGAGUGCAGGCGGUUCAAUAAGUCUGAUGUGAAAGCCUUCGGCUCAACCGGAGAAUUGCAUCAGAAACUGUUGAACUUGAGUGCAGAAGAGGAGAGUGGAACUCCAUGUGUAGCGGUGGAAUGCGUAGAUAUAUGGAAGAACACCAGUGGCGAAGGCGGCUCUCUGGUCUGCAACUGACGCUGAGGCUCGAAAGCAUGGGUAGCGAACAGGAUUAGAUACCCGAGUAGUC
Molecule: ribosomal RNA, 465 nt
Filed under: uncultured Lactobacillus sp.
Lineage: Bacteria; Bacillati; Bacillota; Bacilli; Lactobacillales; Lactobacillaceae
Description: bacterial SSU rRNA
Rfam family: Bacterial small subunit ribosomal RNA
Source: RNAcentral